AUGCAGUCGAGCGAAAGACGAGGAGCUUGCUCCUCUGACGUUAGCGGCGGACGGGUGAGUAACACGUGGAUAACCUACCUAUAAGACUGGGAUAACUUCGGGAAACCGGAGCUAAUACCGGAUAAUAUAUUGAACCGCAUGGUUCAAUAGUGAAAGACGGUUUUGCUGUCACUUAUAGAUGGAUCCGCGCCGCAUUAGCUAGUUGGUAAGGUAACGGCUUACCAAGGCAACGAUGCGUAGCCGACCUGAGAGGGUGAUCGGCCACACUGGAACUGAGACACGGUCCAGACUCCUACGGGAGGCAGCAGUAGGGAAUCUUCCGCAAUGGGCGAAAGCCUGACGGAGCAACGCCGCGUGAGUGAUGAAGGUCUUCGGAUCGUAAAACUCUGUUAUUAGGGAAGAACAAAUGUGUAAGUAACUAUGCACGUCUUGACGGUACCUAAUCAGAAAGCCACGGCUAACUACGUGCCAGCAGCCGCGGUAAUACGUAGGUGGCAAGCGUUAUCCGGAAUUAUUGGGCGUAAAGCGCGCGUAGGCGGUUUUUUAAGUCUGAUGUGAAAGCCCACGGCUCAACCGUGGAGGGUCAUUGGAAACUGGAAAACUUGAGUGCAGAAGAGGAAAGUGGAAUUCCAUGUGUAGCGGUGAAAUGCGCAGAGAUAUGGAGGAACACCAGUGGCGAAGGCGACUUUCUGGUCUGUAACUGANUCUGAUGUUCGAAAGCAUGUGGAUC
RNAcentral lists this ribosomal RNA (730 nucleotides) under Staphylococcus epidermidis. Its description in RNAcentral is "bacterial SSU rRNA". It matches the Rfam family "Bacterial small subunit ribosomal RNA", at positions 55 to 769 of the family's 1533-position model. Lineage: Bacteria; Bacillati; Bacillota; Bacilli; Caryophanales; Staphylococcaceae. The record is from RNAcentral.